UACGAAGGGGGCUAGCGUUGCUCGGAAUCACUGGGCUUAAAGCGCACGUAGGCGGACUCUUAAGUCGGUGGUGAAAUCCUGGAGCUCAACUCCAGAACUGCCUUCGAUAGUGAGAGUCUCGAGUCCGGGAGAGGUGAGUGGAACUGCGAGUGUAGAGGUGAAAUUCGUAGAUAUUCGCAAGAACACCAGUGGCGAAGGCGGCUCACUGGCCCGGUACUGACGCUGAGGUGCGAAAGCGUGGGGAGCAAACAGG
RNAcentral lists this ribosomal RNA (253 nucleotides) under uncultured bacterium. RNAcentral's name for it is "partial 16S ribosomal RNA". It matches the Rfam family "Bacterial small subunit ribosomal RNA", at positions 524 to 776 of the family's 1533-position model. The record is from RNAcentral.